AGCCUCAUCGAUCUUAUAGAGUAGAGUAGAGUAGAGUAGAAAACAUAUACAUACAUAUAGCGUACAAUUAAUCAAUAUGAUGCAUGCACGACACGUCCAAUUUGAGCGAUCAAUCGACCCAAAUUGGUAGCUUCAUUAGUUGACGGUGACCUUUCCGACCAUGCCGGCCCCAGCGUGGGGCUCGCAGUAGAAGCCGUAGGUGCCGGGGACGGUGAGGGUGACGGAGAAGGUCUCGCCGGGGGCGUUGAGGUACUCCUCCUGGGAGAUCUUGGAGACGUCGACGCCGGAGGGCACGGCGUCCUCGUCGAACACCACGUUGUGCGGGUACCCGGCGUUGUUCUUGAAGGUGAUGGUCUCGCCGGCCUUGACGCUGAAGUCGUUGGGCUCGAACACCAGCACGCCGCCGUUGGCACCCAGGAGCACGUCCUGUGCCAUCGCGGACCCGCCCAGCAGCAUGGCGCCGGCGGCCAUGGCCACGGCCGCGCUGGCGGCCUUCUUGCCCAGGGAAGCGCGCACAACCAUCCUGCUGCUUCUGCUGCUGCGCAUGGGGGUGGCGGCGGCGAAGGAAGGGACGGACACGGCUGCAGAGGAGAGGGCGGCCAUGGCUGCUUGCUACGUACUGCAGAGGAGGAGAGCUAGCCUAGCCAA
RNAcentral lists this long non-coding RNA (648 nucleotides) under Hordeum vulgare. RNAcentral describes it as "long non-coding RNA (HVUL_LNC017201)". Lineage: Eukaryota; Viridiplantae; Streptophyta; Magnoliopsida; Poales; Poaceae. The record is from RNAcentral.